GUGAGAGGGAGAAACCUGCUGCCGCUCGCCGCCUCUUUGUCUGCUCCGGGACUUGGAACAAAAGGGGGAAUUCUGAUGAACUCUCUUUCCUCCCCUCUCCCCCGGGCGCCGGGGUAUCUCUCACAACUUUGCCGCCGCGACUUUCUCUGCUGUCAGGCCAGGAAAAAGUGUCCCAGCGCCUCGCAGACUGCAGCGGGGGAAAGGUCUCUUAAAAGUACGACGAAGUGGGGAAGAAGCCAACAAUAUGGAAGUACCAAGACAAGGUCAAAUCAUUCCUGGAUGGAAAGUCAUCACACUUCUUUAUCUGGAGUUACUUAAAAGUUAACGCUGGCAUUUUUGAUGACACCUUCUCUAUAUGGAUUACAGUUUGAUCGCUGGGAAUUCUCCACCUUGAAGAAGCACCCUCAGGUGACUCCAGAUGUAUUAACACCCAGUAUAUUCAGGUAAGAGACUUCAUGGAUGAGGAUGAUUUCCAGGUAAAGGACAACCCUGAUUCACCUUCGUGGCUACAGCUUGCUGCCUGCCCUUCUCUGGCUGCCGCAGACUUCCUGAUGGCCACCACUGCCUUCUUCUCCUUUUUUGCAUUGAUUGAUUGAUUCAUUUCUUAUUUGUGCUAUUUUUCUUUUUUUGGAAUCAUUUUUAGGUAUUCAUACGUGUACAUCGUAACACUGUAAUGAUAUAAAACAUGCAUGGAGUGGUAAGCUCUAACUUCAGGAUAAGGCUUACCCUCUGUAAAGGGAGGCUGGGGCAC
This is a long non-coding RNA of Sapajus apella (tufted capuchin), 751 nucleotides long. RefSeq lists it as uncharacterized. The record is from RefSeq and is a predicted model, not a curated record. The transcript has 3 exons. NCBI's taxonomy places the organism in Eukaryota, Metazoa, Chordata, Mammalia, Primates, Cebidae.